RNAcentral lists this small RNA (211 nucleotides) under Paraburkholderia graminis C4D1M. RNAcentral describes it as "Burkholderia graminis C4D1M Burkholderia sRNA Bp1_Cand738_SIPHT". It matches the Rfam family "Burkholderia sRNA Bp1_Cand738_SIPHT". Lineage: Bacteria; Pseudomonadati; Pseudomonadota; Betaproteobacteria; Burkholderiales; Burkholderiaceae. The record is from Rfam by way of RNAcentral.
CGAAAAACCAGCGUCAGAUGGCGCUGGCGAGGACAUCAAUAAGACCGACGAAUACCGUGCAGGGCUUCGGUAAGCGGUGACGCGUUGCGUCAGAUGGGACCGGGGGCGGCGGUAAAAAACUCCACGCCCUGCAACCAAUGUGGACGGAUUCUAGGGCACGGUUUUAUAGAUCGUCAACACUACAAACAGGCAAAUGUAUAACUAAUUGUAA